Molecule: non-coding RNA, 97 nt
Filed under: uncultured Butyrivibrio sp.
Lineage: Bacteria; Bacillati; Bacillota; Clostridia; Lachnospirales; Lachnospiraceae
Source: RNAcentral
UCUGCAAGGGGUGCCGGCGCAAACCGGCUGAGAGUAAGCGUAUCGCCGUUUUAUCCCUGGAACCUGAACCGGACAAUGCCGGCGUAGGAAUGGAGAA